UAGGAUGUGGUGUAAUAGGUAGCAUAGAGAUUUUUGAAUACUCAGGAGUAGGUUCAAUUCCCAUAGUCCUAG
Molecule: transfer RNA, 72 nt
Filed under: Callithrix jacchus (white-tufted-ear marmoset)
Lineage: Eukaryota; Metazoa; Chordata; Mammalia; Primates; Cebidae
Rfam family: tRNA
About the family: Transfer RNA (tRNA) molecules are approximately 80 nucleotides in length. Their secondary structure includes four short double-helical elements and three loops (D, anti-codon, and T loops).
Source: Rfam by way of RNAcentral